GACAGAGGGUGCAAACGUUGUUCGGAAUCACUGGGCAUAAAGCGCACGUAGGCGGUCCGUUAAGUCAGAUGUGAAAGCCCCCGGCUCAACCGGGGAACGGCAUCUGAUACUGGCGGGCUCGAGGAUGGCAGGGGUGAGCGGAACUCCAGGUGGAGCGGUGAAAUGCGUAGAUAUCUGGAGGAACACCGGUGGCGAAAGCGGCUCACUGGACCAUAUCUGACGCUGAGGUGCGAAAGCUAGGGUAGCAAACGGG
This 253-nucleotide ribosomal RNA is filed under the name uncultured bacterium. RNAcentral's name for it is "partial 16S ribosomal RNA". It matches the Rfam family "Bacterial small subunit ribosomal RNA", at positions 524 to 776 of the family's 1533-position model. The record is from RNAcentral.